Long non-coding RNA from Lepus europaeus (European hare), 666 nucleotides. RefSeq lists it as uncharacterized. Lineage: Eukaryota; Metazoa; Chordata; Mammalia; Lagomorpha; Leporidae. The transcript has 4 exons. The record is from RefSeq and is a predicted model, not a curated record.
CUCGCCGCGCCCCGGAGCGCCCUCCCAGCCGUCGGGGGCCUGGCGGCCUUCUGCCUGCGCUCUCCCGAGCCCUGAGAGCCCUGUGCUCCUGAGGCUUGGAAGCAAACGCUGUCGCCAGACAAGGACGAAGCAGCGAGGGUGUGUGGCCGCGAGCGCUGUGAGGACAGAGGCCGCUGUGCUAGUCCUGGGUCCCUGGGGCUUGAGCUGGGCCUUGGAGCAGGAAAGAGACAGGUGGGGGGUCCGCCACCUGAGCGGUGCAGUGAGUUUGGAGAGAACUCCCUGUAAAGUAGAGAAGAGAAAGGCGUCAACAUUUGACCUAACUGGGCCUCUGACCUGUGCUACUGAUUCUCCAAGAUGGAUUGGGCAAUUUCUGCUGACCUUGAAGAACCAAGAGACACUCUGUGGAGAGUGGAUGCCUCCAGUUGCUGAGGGCAGUCUCCACAAAGGAAGUGAGCUCUGUUAACAACCCUGUGAACUUCAGCGAGAACCCUGAGAUCCAGAAAAAAAAAACAACACAGCUCAGCCAACACCACAGUUUCAACUCUGUGAGACUCUUGAGUAGAGAGAGGACCCAGCCCAGACAACCUUGGGCUUCUGAUCCAUGGGAACUGCGAAUACCAAGCUAAGAACACACAGUCCAGUUUUCAAGCUGUUCAAAAUCUAUGG